AACGUAGGAGACAAACGUUAUCCGGAGUUACUGGGCGUAAAGGGCGUGUAGGCGGUUUGUUAAGUCUGGCGUGAAAGCUCUCGGCUAAACCGGGAGAGGUCGUUGGAUACUGGCAAACUAGAGGACGGUAGAGGCGUGUGGAAUUCCGGGUGUAGUGGUGAAAUGCGCAGAGAUCCGGAGGAACACCAGUGGCGAAGGCGACACGCUGGGCCGUACCUGACGCUAAAGCGCGACAGCAUGGGGAGCAAACGGG
This 253-nucleotide ribosomal RNA is filed under the name uncultured bacterium. Its description in RNAcentral is "partial 16S ribosomal RNA". It matches the Rfam family "Bacterial small subunit ribosomal RNA", at positions 524 to 776 of the family's 1533-position model. The record is from RNAcentral.